This 447-nucleotide ribosomal RNA is filed under the name uncultured bacterium. RNAcentral's name for it is "bacterial SSU rRNA". It matches the Rfam family "Bacterial small subunit ribosomal RNA", at positions 355 to 825 of the family's 1533-position model. The record is from RNAcentral.
UCGGGAAUUUUGGGCAAUGGGCGAAAGCCUGACCCAGCAACGCCGCGUGAAGGAUGAAGUAUUUCGGUAUGUAAACUUCGAAAGAAUAGGAAGAAUAAAUGACGGUACUAUUUAUAAGGUCCGGCUAACUACGUGCCAGCAGCCGCGGUAAUACGUAGGGACCAAGCGUUGUUCGGAUUUACUGGGCGUAAAGGGCGCGUAGGCGGUGUGUCAAGUCAGUUGUGAAAUCUCCGAGCUUAACUCGGAACGGUCAACUGAUACUGUCACACUAGAGUACAGAAGGGGCAAUCGGAAUUCUUGGUGUAGCGGUGAAAUGCGUAGAUAUCAAGAGGAACACCUGAGGUGAAGACGGGUUGCUGGGCUGACACUGACGCUGAGGCGCGAAAGCCAGGGGAGCAAACGGGAUUAGAUACCCAAGUAGUCCCUGAGCGGGCUGGCAAGGCGCAU